RNAcentral lists this ribosomal RNA (253 nucleotides) under uncultured prokaryote. RNAcentral's name for it is "partial 16S ribosomal RNA". It matches the Rfam family "Bacterial small subunit ribosomal RNA", at positions 524 to 776 of the family's 1533-position model. The record is from RNAcentral.
UACGUAGGGGGCGAGCGUUGUCCGGAAUUACUGGGCGUAAAGGGCGUGUAGGCGGCUUUUUAAGUCAGGUGUGAAAGGCGGAGGCUCAACCUCCGGAAUGCAUCUGAAACUGGAGAGCUUGAGGAUGGUAGAGGAGAGCGGAAUUCCCGGUGUAGCGGUGAAAUGCGUAGAUAUCGGGAAGAACACCAGUGGCGAAGGCGGCUCUCUGGGCCACACCUGACGCUGAGGCGCGAAAGCUAGGGGAGCGAACGGG